CAGCAGCCGCGGUAAUACGGAGGGGGCUAGCGUUGUUCGGAAUUACUGGGCGUAAAGCGCGCGUAGGCGGCUUGGUAAGUUAGAGGUGAAAGCCUGGGGCUCAACCCCAGAAUUGCCUUUAAGACUGCCGAGCUAGUAGGUGAGAGAGGUAAGUGGAAUUCCGAGUGUAGAGGUGAAAUUCGUAGAUAUUCGGAAGAACACCAGUGGCGAAGGCGGCUUACUGGCUCAUUCUAGACGCUGAGGUGCGAAAGCGUGGGGAGCAAACAGGAUUAGAUACCCGGGUAGUCCCUGUCUCUUAUAC
Molecule: ribosomal RNA, 301 nt
Filed under: uncultured bacterium
Lineage: Bacteria
Description: partial 16S ribosomal RNA
Rfam family: Bacterial small subunit ribosomal RNA
Source: RNAcentral